This is a non-coding RNA of Pelobates cultripes (western spadefoot toad), 255 nucleotides long. Lineage: Eukaryota; Metazoa; Chordata; Amphibia; Anura; Pelobatidae. The record is from the annotation of a GenBank genome assembly.
AAAACACACAGGACAUAACCAUUUUGCUGCAUAUUGGGCUGUGUAGCUGCCGACCAGUCAUGAUGAACACUGUGCACUGCUGAAAGCUCCUUCAAUGGGGUUGUGAGUGUGAGAAUGAACUGGACCAUGGAGCAAUGGAAGAAGGUUGCCUGCUGUGACAUUUUCUUUUAGAUCAAUUCAAUAGCCGGGUACAUAUGAGUCAUUGACUUUUAGAAGAGAUGGCAUGAGGAUGCACAAUGGGAAGAAGGCAAGCAG